CGUACGAAAAGGCAAACCUGUUGAAAAAUAGGGACGCAAAGCCACGGGCCUAAAGCAAAAAGUGCAAUGGCGGCUGGGUUACCGAA
RNAcentral lists this non-coding RNA (86 nucleotides) under Halalkalibacter wakoensis. RNAcentral's name for it is "Bacillus wakoensis c-di-GMP sequence". It matches the Rfam family "c-di-GMP-I riboswitch aptamer". Rfam says of the family: GEMM was predicted in a large-scale screen for bacterial structured RNA regulatory elements. The record is from RNAcentral. RNAcentral also lists the same sequence under 1 other name. Lineage: Bacteria; Bacillati; Bacillota; Bacilli; Caryophanales; Bacillaceae.